CCCUGCUUAAAGAGCUACAACCAGACACGACUAGAAUUCGAAUUCUGAAUUUUGAUAGAAUCCAUGUACAAAACGAUUUAAACAACUAAGAAAAACAUAAAACUAUCCUGCCGUAACAAACUGGGACACCACCACAGACCACUUGGUAACCUCCAAGUUUUCCUUCCACGUCACCGGCAGCCCAUCGGCAACGAUUAACACUGGCCAUCGGCAUAAACACAUCACCACCCAUGGACUUAGCCAUAUCCAGCUGUCUCCUCAUCAGCAACUACUCCCAUCGGCAACUUUUCCCGCAGACCAGUCACUAUUGUCUUUUUCUUGCCGAUCCACACUCUACCGAUCCUGGGUACGUGUCCAAAAAGGCAUCAACACAUGCCCCCCAAUUUCGGAGUAUGAAGUCAUUAAUACUCCGAAAUUCUCUGCAGUAACGAUGCCUUUCCGCAAUUAAUUCUCCCAGUUUGGUAACCGACAACCUUAACCUGAACAACC
RNAcentral lists this long non-coding RNA (489 nucleotides) under Sorghum bicolor (sorghum). RNAcentral describes it as "long non-coding RNA (SBIC_LNC007954)". The record is from RNAcentral. Lineage: Eukaryota; Viridiplantae; Streptophyta; Magnoliopsida; Poales; Poaceae.